This 303-nucleotide unclassified non-coding RNA is filed under the name uncultured fungus. RNAcentral describes it as "sequence contains ITS2". Lineage: Eukaryota; Fungi. The record is from RNAcentral.
AACGCACCUUGCGCUCUCGGGCUAUUCCUGGGAGCAUGCUUGUUUGAGUGUCGCGUACCUCUCAACCACUUUCUUAUUAAGUUAGGAAACGUCAGGGUUGGAUCAUGCUGCUUGCCGUCUUUUUAGAUGGCUGCGGUGAAAUACAACAAGCUGGAUCCUUAUCUUGCGGCUUGACCCGUUGUUGUAACUUGAAACCCAAUGGGAACGCAAUUUUGGAGGAAGGAGCUUUGCGAUAAACGAACUUAACACGUUCAACAAGUGCAUUUUGACCUCAAAUCAAGCAGGACUACCCGCUGAACUUAA